Molecule: small RNA, 1068 nt
Filed under: Pan troglodytes (chimpanzee)
Lineage: Eukaryota; Metazoa; Chordata; Mammalia; Primates; Hominidae
Description: retained intron
Source: RNAcentral
UUUCCGGUCCGGUGGGUACAAGAUGACGGAGCCGGGCGCCUCUCCCGAGGACCCUUGGGUCAAGGUGGAGUAUGCCUACAGCGACAACAGCCUGGACCCCGAUGACGAGGACAGUGAUUACCACCAGGAGGCCUACAAGGAGUCCUACAAAGACCGGCGGCGGCGCGCACACACUCAGGCUGAGCAGAAGAGGAGGGACGCCAUCAAGCCAUUGACUACAUUCAGUUUUUGCACAAGGAGAAGAAAAAGCAGGAGGAGGAGGUGUCCACGUUACGCAAGGAUGUCACCGCCCUAAAGAUCAUGAAAGUGUAAGAGGGGUGCUGAAUGGGGGGAACCAGAACUUCUGAGGCAACUUCAUUGCACACCCUCCCUUGUUCAAAGGCCACAUCAGUUACUGCUGUACAGAUAAUACUCUUAGUUCCUGAGCUAGCCAGUAGGACUGUGUAUCCCCAACUGUCCUUACACAUGGCAGACACUCAGGAAAUGCCUGUUGGAUUAAUGUAAGGAAGGUUGGAGAGAGAGGGCCACCUUUCCUGGCCUGGAAGCAGUAUCUCCCUGAUACUGAACCCCACCCAGAAGCUCUCUGGGGCUGCCAUUCCUGGGAGUACACAGGAUAGUCCUGUCAUUCUUCUUGGGUGGGCGGAGCUGCUGCAGCACCUCAGCCCUGGCCUGCAUGCUUUUAGGAACUAUGAGCAGAUUGUGAAGGCACACCAGGACAACCCCCAUGAAGGGGAGGACCAGGUCUCUGACCAGGUCAAGUUCAACGUGUUUCAAGGCAUCAUGGAUUCCCUGUUCCAGUCCUUCAAUGCCUCCAUCUCAGUGGCCAGCUUCCAGGAGCUGUCAGCGUGUGUCUUCAGCUGGAUCGAGGAGCACUGUAAGCCUCAGACCCUGCGGGAGAUUGUGAUUGGCGUCCUACACCAAUUGAAAAACCAGCUUUACUGACCGGUUCUUGGAAACCUGCAGAACAGCCAACAAGAGGCCCUUGAAUCUCUACUUGGCCACUGAACUGCUGGGCCCGGGAGACUGGACUACAACACCUCACACUGGUCAGCUGGUUUCUACUUGGUG